UUUUUGGCUUCCUCUUCUUCCCCAUCUUUUUUGCAGGGAACAGAAAACGAUGACCACGGUACAGUGUCUACACCUUGGGAUCUUGAAGCUUCAAGCUCUUGUAUUAAGGGUGGCUGAGCCAGACAGCAAGGGGGCUGAAUCCCUCACGACGGGACGGGACCACCAUUGCAGAGCAUGAGGUACUCAUUCCUGAUUAAUGACCUCAGCAAGUGGGUAAUGAUUAUUCAUCGGCCUCUUUAGGAACUUUAAUCGUGUGGAGGACUUUCUAGACUUCAGAUGGACUACUCUAGAUAGAGGCAUAGAAACAGUAAUCAAGUAACAAAGCGAAAACUACUCAACUUAAAUGCCUAUCAGAUUAUACCCUUUCUAAUAUUUUUGGCAUGAAAAUGAUCUCUUAUGAAGCAAUCUUAACGUACCCUGGAUGGUAGUUUGAUUUGUUUUAAAACGCCUUCACGGAGUUGUGGGCAAUGCUGUGUUUGGUUUCUACACGAUUUUUGAAAUUUUUUGUGGUCUAUACAAUCCCAGACCCUAGGAACCACUGGAAUGCAUCUUCAAAUAGUUGCUCAACAAGUGGAAUAUUUUCUGAGCCUUUGCAUUUCUGAGAAUGCCCACCUGUCCCACCGAAAGACGAAUUGUUGGGUAUAAAGUUCUUAGCUCAUAACUUUCUCUACCUCAAAACCCCGUGGAGUCAUCUGGCAUCUAACUGCUGCAGAGGAAAUGUCUGAGAUCAACCUCUUGUAAAUAAAUUUUUACUGAAUAGUUGCAAGACUUUUUUUUUUUUCACUUACACCUUCCUGUUUCUCGAGGCAUUGCUGUACG
Acinonyx jubatus (cheetah) is the source of this 819-nucleotide long non-coding RNA. RefSeq lists it as uncharacterized. The record is from RefSeq and is a predicted model, not a curated record. NCBI's taxonomy places the organism in Eukaryota, Metazoa, Chordata, Mammalia, Carnivora, Felidae. The transcript is spliced from 3 exons.